CCUACGGGAGGCAGCAGUGGGGAAUAUUGCGCAAUGGGCGAAAGCCUGACGCAGCGACGCCGCGUGAGGGAUGAAGGUCUUCGGAUCGUAAACCUCUGUCAGCAGGGAAGAACGGUCACUGUGCUAAUCAGCAGUGAAUUGACGGUACCUGCAAAGGAAGCACCGGCUAACUCCGUGCCAGCAGCCGCGGUAAUACGGAGGGUGCGAGCGUUAAUCGGAAUUACUGGGCGUAAAGCGCUCGUAGGCGGUAUGUCAAGUCAAGGGUGAAAUCCCCGCGCUCAACGUGGGAACUGCCUUUGAAACGGGCAAACUGGAGUGUGUGAGAGGAUAGUGGAAUUCCAGGUGUAGGAGUGGAAUCCGUAGAUAUCUGGAGGAACAUCAGUGGCGAAGGCGACUAUCUGGCACAUAACUGACGCUGAGGAGCGAAAGCGUGGGUAGCAAACAGGAUUAGAUACCCCGGUAGUC
RNAcentral lists this ribosomal RNA (465 nucleotides) under uncultured bacterium. RNAcentral describes it as "partial 16S ribosomal RNA". It matches the Rfam family "Bacterial small subunit ribosomal RNA", at positions 338 to 795 of the family's 1533-position model. The record is from RNAcentral.